This 21541-nucleotide long non-coding RNA is filed under the name Lactuca sativa (garden lettuce). RNAcentral describes it as "long non-coding RNA (LSAT_LNC005820)". Lineage: Eukaryota; Viridiplantae; Streptophyta; Magnoliopsida; Asterales; Asteraceae. The record is from RNAcentral.
GGAAUGCUACACGUCUGGAACAGUUGUAAUAGACGACGCCGUCCCAAUAGUUAUAUAAACAUCAUUGUCCAGCCAUUUUUGAUAACGAUCUGGCACUCCACAUCCAUACUUCUCGAUUGUAUAGCACCUAGAAGGUAUGAGAACGGAUUGUAGAAAACUCUGAUCUUUUCAUUGUCCAAGAAUUUGGAUAGCAUCACCCUUAUAUAUAAUUGACAAAUUAGAGCAAGUUAGUAUAGAAUUGCACAAGAAACAGAGGUUGGCAAGGCAGUUAAUAACUUAUAUUUUUGUUAACAACCAGGAACCAUGUCUCAUGAUUUCUUAUAUGUGGUGUCCAUAUACGCAAGAUACAAACCUAAAUAUGAUAAAAACAUUAUACUUUUGUUGUCACAUAAGCAAUGGUUGUUAACAAUAUAAAUUUCUUAUGAGGAGACACUUAAUCAUAUACCUGUAGUGGUGUUCCUGGAGACAUGUCUGGUGUUAUAAUAAAAAAGGAAGUAAAUUAUGAUUUUUGAAUGUACUAAUAAAUAUAAUGUUUUAUAGAAUAGUGAAGUGAAUAAAAUAAACAUAAAUGCGUUACAUUGUUCUAUAUAAUUGUAAAAGGUAAAUAUGUAUUUGACCACUCAGUUAUUAAGAUUAUGUAUAAAGUCUUAGAAAACAACGUUUUUUGUUUUGUUUUUCUGGUAUUGUCAUCAGAAUGUAUGAGUAUUUUAACUGACUUUGGAGAUGUAGCACGAGAUAAGGCAACAUAAAGAUGCCCAUGUGUGAAAACUGAUUUUGGAUAAAUGCCUAUUUUUUUAAAGAAUGGCCUUGGCUUUUAUUAAUAGUCAUAGCGUAACAAACUUUAACUGGAAAUUGUUUCCUAAUGAAGGUAGAAGGUAUGUCAGGAGCUUUAUGUAUGAAUCUAAUACGAGGCAGAAAUACAAUUUUGCCAAUAUAAGUCCCGGUUAUAAUUGUUGCCUCUAUGACGUUUGCCAGUAACUAUGAAACCAUCAACCGUGUUCCAUUGCAUAAACCUUCCUUUUGGUUUAUGUUCCGAAUCAACAUGAUGGGUGUGUUAAUUUUCACUGAUAGUGAAUGUGUGGGUAUGCUAGGGAAGGUCAAGAUAUUAAGAUAUUCCAAUGGAUAGAAAAUAUUAAAGUCUGUAGUUUGGUUGUCAUUAAAGUUGAUACUAUCAACACUUUCAUACAUCUUUGAAUGCCCAGGACUUUUCUGUAGAACUAUGUCAUUUUUUUUUGGAUAGUUUCAUUUUUGGGACAGACAAUUGCUCUACCAGAUAAUACAACAGCAGAAGGUUUUGUUAGAAUACCAUCUCCAUAUACAAAGUUUAUAAGGGUCUAACUCAUUUUCUGGUGGAGGUAUAAUGAAUGAAUGAGGAAUUUCAACCCAUCUAGUAUUUGUUUUAUCAAAUGCAUCAAUUUCACCAAUAACCCCAUCACCAAUUGUUAGUAACCAAGAUGCAAACUCUGAGACACUUAAGUCAGUGUGCAGUGAGUUGGAGAAGUUCUUAAGUCGCAUAUUAUCAUUUAGUUUAUACAACCUGAAAUAUGGCCAUAUGAUUUAGGUAAGGUGGGGGAGAUAAGUUUAAAGGUUGUACUUCUUGGAGACAUAGGUAAUGUUUGAUGAAAGUCUCUUCCUAAUAAUAGUGACAUACCACCAAAAACUUUCGUCUCACAUUCGAGAAUAUCUUUUAAGGAGCCGUCUAGACAUUCAAAGCAACGUCUGUCACUCAUUGGUGCUUCGUCCCAUAUAAUAAUGGAAGUUUGUUUUAGUAGCUCAGCAAGCAUUGUCUUUUUUUGUAAUGUUGCAUGCAACAUUAUCUGAAAAUUCAAUCGGAAUAUUGAAUCUAGAGUGAGCAGUUCUCCCUGAUGGAAGGAGCAGGGACGUUAUACGCCUAUACCCGAAGUAGCAAUGACAUGCUCUAUUUUCCCUAUGGAACGGAAAUGAGCAAGUAAAGUAGUCCACAGGAAAGUUUUGCCAGUUCCUCCAUGCUCAUAAAUGAACAUGAGCACCUGCUGCCCUUUCUCUUAUGCGGAUUGAACUGUCUUAUAGAUGUCAAGUUGUUCAUGGUUCAAGAUGACAACAUUUAUUCAUGAGUGAGAGUCAAAAUGUCCUUAUCAUAUGUUGUUUCUUCUAAAAGAAGAUGAUUUUUUUAACAUCACCAUUGUUUCCUCCAUGGGUUUAGGUAGGUGAAAGUCAACAACAAAUCUUGAAGGUGUAGAUGAUUUAAGUAUAUGAUCCAGCUCAAAUAAAACCAUAUGUUGUACAUGGAAAUCAUUUAUAUUUAAAUCAAGAGUAGGAUUGGACAUCUUAAUGGUAUACGUCAAAUCUUUACUCAUUUUCUUCCAUCCUAUAUACCAUAAACACAUAGGAUUGUUAACAUCACAUAAAAGAAGCAAAUAGCAGAAUAGAGAGCACAACUGAGACGACGUUGCCCGAAGCUUGAAUAAAAGCAUCCAUCAACUCUCUGUCAUCCCCUAUUAGACCUAGCGCGUCACAAGCACCACGGAAAUCAGGAUAUACAGUGUUGGAAACGGUACGCAAUUCUUCAUAAGACUUACAACCUUCUUGAUGAGAAAGUAACAUCCUUAAGUAAAAUAAUUCUCUAUCUAGCAGAUGGAUGCACAAAGAUAAGUCUGCCUAGUGCAUGGGAAGUGGAGCGUUUUCUUCUUUUCCAAGCUCUUACCUCUUUGUCCCACUAAUAUUUGGUAGGGGAGGAAGUAUACGUAAGAUCAUGACCAGAUGCAUCCCACUUAUUAUUGUCAAACCAACCUAGUAACAGACUACUACCAAAAGUGGGAUGUUCAACAACCUGCUUAAUACGAGUGUUCUCUUUGAUGAAGACAGACUGCAUAUUUGGCAAAUGUACAGGCAAUAUCACAACAGGUAGAUCUCGCUCAUGAAUAGGGUAAUAAAGUAUAUGCCACGCAGCCUCCUGAGGACAUAGGAAACGACCAUCAAUGUAAUUUUUUAUCUCAUCAACUAUGAUACCUUCCGCAGAAGUAGAAGCUUCAGAAAGUUGCACAUCUUUCUGAAUUACAAACCUAGCACGUUCCAUUCCCUUUAAUAAAUACUUAAUCAUCAUGUUCCACCCACAAUAUUCAACAAUGAUAUGUGCAUUGAAACGACAACACAACCUUUUGUUAUACGGGACUAUGUACCUGUUAUCUAUUUGCACACUAUUUUGUAACAUAUGUAACGCAACCAAAUCUCUUUUAUGAUGAGCUUAUCCAUCCUUGUCAAAAAAUGUAGUAGUGCGAAAGUGUUUUGGGAAUUUUUUUACACAUACCAUCCUUUAUACAUGGAGCCUUAGUAUUGGCCAAACCACAUGGUCCAUGUAUAAGACAUCUUGUAACAGUCUCAUCUAACAAUGUCUCACAAACAGGGUCUGACAAUUCAGCGGUAAUAUAAGCAUCAAUGAAAGACAGGUCCUUUAUCUUAUGAGGAUCUGCUAUCCAUAUCAGCAAAUGACAAUGUGGCAAACCCCCCUUUUUUGGAACUCAAUAGUAUAUAAAUCUGCAACAAACCCAAAACAAAAAAAAUAAAGAAACCAGAGAAACGUACGAUCAAAUAAAUCUAAAUAAAAUUAAUUAAAGUUUUUUAAUUUGCAGCGACAGCAACUUACAUGCUGAUACUAGGCUAAAAGUUUUAUCACAUUUCAAGUAUGCAAUAAAGGCAUCAACUUUCAUCCGAAAAAAAACAUGAAAUUAUAUCAACCCUGCUGCCCACAUCAGUCUGUCGACGAACAGCCAUGUAGCAGGUGAUUUCUGGCCAACCAACAUUACAUGUAAAGGUUAUAAAAUAUUGUGGAUUCCCAUACUCGCAACAAAUAGAAAGAGCAUCCUGAUAGUGGUUAUACAUAUAUCGUGGACCACCAACAAAAGAUGGAGGCAAAAGUACACGCUUACCAAUACAUCGAAUUUCAGUAUCACCCAGUGAUAUGGCAUCGUAAAUACCACUAACAUACGCUGAUCUUAGUUGAUUUUGAUUAUGUUCAAAGAAAUCAAGACGAGAAAGUUCGAUACAGGCAUACGCAUCAACUAAAUAUUGUUGGAACAACCUACACGAAUUCAAGAGAAGGGAGUAUACACCAUUUCUUGUGUGUAUGUGGUAACUGUAAUACAUGUUAAUAGUGAGAUUCCUAGUCUUCGAACCAAUUUCAUUUAUUAGCUUCAAACGCGAAGACCAACCGUCCUCGGCGCUGGAACCGACUCCUAUCAAACUCCGACGCAUAACAACCUUCCUUAAUUACCAUUUCAUAGUCAUAACCUUUUCAAGGGUCAACUCAGGUCAAAGUCAAGGUCAAGGUCAACACCUUGGUCAAAGUCAACUUUUGGUCAAAGUCAACAUCUAGUUGACUCAACUCGCUGAGUUGGUCCACCAACUCGUCGAGUUCCAUAAUCCACCAAAAUCUUGGAACUUCAAUCCUACUCGUCGAGUUCUCCUUCAUACAGAAUCAAGACCUUUUUGCUCUUGACUCGCCUAGCUCGUCCAUGAACUCGUCGUGUCUUUCUCCAUACAAGUUGAAGCGUUUAGUCCUUGACUCGCCGAGUUCUUCCUUGAACUCGUCGAGUUCUUCUUCAUAUAAGUUGGGGGCAUUGCCUUGAACUCGUCAAAUUCUUUUGAUCUUCAAGUCCAUAUCUACGUCCAUCUUGUUGAGUCCUCUUCUAGACUCAACCAAAUCGAUCAGAACAGAAAAGGUUGGGGGAACCAUAACCCGAAUCGCCAAGUCCUAAGAGCGACUCGCCGAGUCCCCCAAAGUCUAAGUCUACCAAGUCGAUUUCAGUCGGGCUUAAUGCAUCCAUAACAUAGAUCUGACCUCCUAGGGUCGAUAUUGCACAUAAAGUUACAAACUUUACGUGCAUGCAAGGUGUUAUGAGCUAAGAACAUCAUUUCCAUGUCUAAAAUGAAGUCUAGGCCAAAGGGAAGGGCUAAAGCAUGAUAAUUUCAUAAACUUUAUGGCUAAAGGGGCUGAAAGGGAUCUGGAUCUGAAGUUACAACUUCAGAUUACACUCCAUACUAAAAAAGGUUCACAAAAUUGCUAAAAGAUAGCCCUAAACUCAAAUAUAGAGAGAUCUAGCAACAGAGAAGUCAAGGAAGCAACUUUAUACCUUAAAGGGAUUGGAAAUGGAGCUCAAACCCUGGAUCUACUACUUCCCUGAACCUUCUAGCUCUUUCUUCUUCCUCCUCUAGCUUCAAGAUCACACAAAUACUCUCAAAAAUGACUCACACACUAGGAAAAGCUCAAGGGUCACGUUAGUGUUUUUUGGACUAAGGGAGACGACAGGGGUUGCAUGGGAGGCUGGUUAAUGUAUUUAAAUAGGGUGCAAACCCUAAAAUUUAGGGUUUCAUCCAGACAAGUCUACUCGUUGAGUCGGGGCUUCCGACUCGGCGAGUAGACUCUUCCACUCGCGUCUAAUCCUUCGCAUCUACUCGACGCUUUUGGCCUCCAACUCGUCGAGUCCCUGUAUAAAUGUGAAAAAGCUUUUAAUAAAAAUACGUACCGGGAAUCGGACGUUACACUACGUUAAAUUAAGAAGCAGUACACAACAUACCUAGAAAAGAAACAGAGACAGGGAUGGAGAAUAAAAACGCAGCAACGGAAGAGGAAGGAAGAGUAAAAAAGAAAGAAGGAAGAAAUAAAGAAAAGUGAAGAAAAUUGUAUUGGAAGAGGAGGCCGGCAAGGCGACAACGAAAACAGAUAAGAAGUAAAAGAAGAAUGAGAAGUAUUGGGGCGUUUGAAUGAGAAGAAGAACUUCAGUAACAAAAGAUGAAAGAGAAAAAAAUACACUGCAGCUAAGGUUUUUAGGAAUUUAUAGUAUAUACUAAUUAAAGCUUCACACUAUUUUUUUUUUUUCUUUUCUGUUACAACAUUUUUACUUUCAAUGUUUUUUUAUCAAGACCUUUUAUUUAAAAUACUUUACAUCUUUUACUUAUAUAGGUAUUUAACUAUCUAUUAUAGCAGUAUACCUUCGGUUUUUUUAUUUAAACACAUUUCCCUUUGAAAAAUCAUUUCAAUUAAAGCACAUUUUUAAAGGUUUUUUUCUAUCACUACAUUUUUAUUUUCAAAUAUUCUUUUAUUAAGACAUUUUAUUAAAAAAACUUCAAAAUUUUUACAUACCAUGCAUUUUACUUUGUAAUAGUUAUCAAUUAUAGCAUUGUAUUCUCAAUUUUCUUAUUAAAAGCACAUUUUCAUUUUAAAAAUCAUAGCAAUUAAAGCUUUGCACUAUUUUUUUGUGUUACAACAUUUUAGUUUCAAAUAGUCUUUUAACAAGACAUUUUAUUGAAAAAUCUUUACAUUCGUUUACUUAUUUAGGCAGUUUACCAUGAAAUUUACUAACUAAAGCAUAUUGCACUUUCUUAGAUUUUUUCUUUUAUUACAACAUUUUUACUUAUAUAGGUAUAUUACUUUAAAAUUUUAUCAAUUGUAGUAUUGUACUUUCAAUUUUCUUAUUAAAAGCAAUUUUUUCCUUUGAAAAAUAAUUCAUUUCACUAUUUUAGAUUUUUUUUCUUUCAAAUAUUGUUUUAUCAAGACACUUAUUAAAAAGUUGUAACAGUGUAGGUCUGAUUUAGUAGAUAACAAAAUGGAAUUGAAUUGCUUGGAAUGGAAUGAUUGAAUUAGAAAAGGAAUCCUCAAAUAUGGAUUAGAUAUGAAUAUAAAAAGGGAGUUAACGGGUUAAGGGGUGUUUAGGUCUUUUCCCUUGUUAUGUUAGUUAUUAGGUUAGUAUAAUUAAGAGGUAUUGGAAUUUAGUUAGUAUCGAUUGCUUGAUUGUUAGAAGUAAGUUCUUCUUUGGGUUAAGGGGUCUUUUAGGUCUUUUAUAUGCAUAUCUAAUCCAUAUCUCAGAAUUCCUUGUCUAAUUCAAUCAUUCCAUUCAAUUCCAAGCAAUUCAAUUCCAUUCUGUUAUCUACUAAAUCAGACCUAAACUAUUAUAAAAAUCUCUACAUUUUUUACUUGUUUAGGCAUUUUACUUUGAAAAUCUUAGCAAAUAUAACAUUGUACUUUAUGUAUUCUUAUUAAAGCAUUGCAUUUUAAGUUUUCUUUUUUAAAAGCACAUUAUCGUUUGAAAAUCAUCCCAACUAAAGCAUUGCAUUUUUUUCCCAUAUUGCAACGAUUUUACUUUCAAAUAAUCUUUUAUCAAGACAUUUUACAAUACAAUUUUACUUAUCUAGGCCUUUUACUUUUGAAAAUUUAUCAAUUAUGACAUUGUACUUCCACUUUUCUCAUUAAAAUCAUAUUUCUUUUUAAAAAAUCAUCCAACCAAAACAGUUUUUUUUUUUUUUUUUUUUUUUUUUUUUUACAANUUUUUUUUUUUUUCGUAUUACAACAUUUUGACUUUCAAAUACUCUUUUAUCAAGACAUUCUUUACAAAAACUUAUACAUUUUUUACUUAUUUAGGCAUUUUACUCUGAAAACUUUACCAAUUAUAGCAUUGUACUUUUAAUUUUUUUUAUUGAAUGCAAAUUUCUUUUGAAAAAUCAUCCCAAUUAAAGCAUUACAUUUUUCUAGUUUUUUUUUCCGUAUUACAACAUAUUUGCUUUCAAAUAAUAUUUUAUCAAGACAUUUUUUACAAAAAAAUUUACAUUUUUUACUUAUCUAGGCAUUUCCCUUAUAAAAAUACAUUAUACACAUAUAUUAAAUCCCCUCACACUUAGGGAGGAGGGAGUCCUUCCCUCUCAACCCACUGCCACAUCAGCUUUUUUUUAUUCUCUCGCUUCAAUCUUUGCCAACCCACAACACAUGGAAAUCCUAUCUUUUCCAACCCACUCAACCUACUUUCCACAUCAUUUAAUUAAAUUAAAAAAGAUAAAAUAAAAUAAAAUAUAGCAUUUUUUAUUUAAAAAUAAAUAUUUGCUAAUUUAAAACAAAAAAAUCUAAAAUAAUAUUAAAAAUAACAUUAAUUAAAAAAACACACUACAAAUAGAAAAAAAUACACGAAAAUUAAAAAAACACUUCAAAAAUACAAAAUAAUUAAGAUCCUAAAACGAUAAUUAAAAUUAACUAGUUAUCUAAAGUUGAAAUAUAGACAUGUUAAUCGAAGCUGGUGGUGGGUUUCAUCAUUGCGCAAUUCAUGUAUGAUUUCUAGGUCUUCGACUUCGUCAUUGGGGGGNNNNNNNNNUGAUGCACAGGAGAUAUCGCAGCACCCUCAUCUUUCAGUAUCAUAUUGUGCAGUAUAAUACAAACAUACAUUAUGUUUUUCGUUUUCUUCACCGUCAUAGCCCGUGCCGACAUCUUUAAUAUGUCCCAACAUCCUUUAAGGACCCCAAACGUACGUUCUACGUCCUUUCUUGCUGAUUCUUGUGCCGCCUUGAACCGUUUCUUUUUGUUCGUUAUUGCAUGUGGAUAUGACUUCACGAAUACAACCCAUGUUGGAUAUAUUCCAUCGGCAAGAUAGUAACCAUGCUUGUAGUGUUCACCAUUCAGAUCAAAUGAGCAAUCAGGUCCUGUUCCAUGAUAUUUCUCAUCAAACAAUGGUGAUUGGUAGAGGACGUUCAAAUCAUUGUUCGAACCAGCUACACCAUAGAAUGCAUGCCAAAACCAUAAAUCUUGUGAUGUCACUGCUUCUAGUAUCAUUGUUGGAUACUGAUGGUCACCCCUCAUGUAUUGGCCUCUCAGUUCUGUUAGACAAUUCCUCCAAUUCCAAUGUGUGCAGUCAAUGCUACCAAGCAUUCCAGGGAAUCCAUGUCUAGCUUCAUGUGCUUCAUACAAUUUUUGAAUGUCAGUGGAUGUUGGACGGCGUAAAUAUUCAGCCUUAUACAUUUGGACAAUACCAUAGCAAAAGUUUUCUAGAGCUUCACGAGAAGUUCUUUCUGACAUAUUUAGAUACUCAUCUAAUGAGUCUGGGUUAUAACCCUUCGCUAAUUGACGUAUUGUUGAGGUGCAUUUUUGUAGCCCACUGAAACUUCUCUGAUUUGUUGCAUCCCAUGUUGUUUGAAAAUAUGGAUAAUUCAUCUCUAGGUCACCAACAAGUUGCAUAAACAAACCUUUGCUCAUACGGAACCUUCUGCGGAAUAGAUCAUGACCAUAUGUUGAAUCAUCUGCAAAGUAAUGUCGGAUCAGUAGCUGUUCAGCCUCUAAACGAUCUCUUUGGAUUGUGUUUCUCCUUUGAUUGUUACUUGAGCUAACAUUAUUCUGGAGAAGAAGUUGUGCAGUACGAGAUAAUGCAGGUAACAAAUUAUUGUUGAUAAGUUCAUCCUCGGAAGAUGAACUAUCGUUGUUACUAUCCAUGAACUAUCGUUGUUACCAUCCAUUACUAUUUUGCGAACGUUUGGAUUCAUUUUGAAAGAGAGAGAAACGAUAGAGAGAAAAUGAAACAAACAUAUAUAAAGAGAUAAUGAAACAAACAUUCAUAUAUAUAUAUAUAUAUAUAUAUNAGAGAAAAUGAAACAAACAUAUAUAGAGAGAUAAUGAAACAAACAUUCAUAUAUAUAUAUAGUGAAACAAGAGAAUCUUAAUAAAAAGAAAAAAGAAAAAGUAAAAGAAAAAGAAAAAUAAUCAUAAAAAAGAAAAAGAUUCUCAGUCAAAUGAUGUCGACACUCUGAACUUCACGGGUUCUACAACUCCCAACCAUAUUUAGUUGCAAUUUGUCGUUUCCUUUCAAGAACCGUGCUCAAAAUAGCUCCAGUCAAAUGAUCAUGCGGUCGUAGAAAAUACUCCAUAUCUUGGUUCUCUAUCUCUCGCUCCAACAAUUGAGCUUUCAGUGCUUCAUUAGCUUCUAAAAUACGUAAUUUUUGUUCCCGGUACCGUUGUCUCUGUUUCGCCUCUAUGUUGGUUGUAGUGUUGAUGCUGGCAAUAUGGUUGACAAGAUCAAACAUUUCAUUUUGUGUUGACGAUACUGAUGCCACUUUUUUUCCUUUUCUUUUUCUCUGAGGUGGUGAGUCUUCAACAUUAAAAGGUUGUUGUUGUUGGGGGAAUCUGGGAGGAUACUGUGCAUCGGAAGAUGUUGUAUGGGCGUUAGAUGAAGAUGUUUUAGUUCGUUUUUAAAAAGGAGGCGAGGAGUCUUCACCAGCUUUUGUAACCAACGCCCAUUUCUCGUGGUCUUUCAACCACUCCCAAGCUUUUUGAUGAGGAAAGGAUUUUUGAUUAACAGUACUCCGAUACUCGCUUAGUGAGGCUUUUAAAACAUCAGCCUCAGAUCUCCCACUAGCCACACUGUUCAUCCUACGGUUAUAGAUGCAGUUGAAAGUGUUACAUUUCUUUUGCAGGUCUUUCCAUUUUGAGUUUACUUGGUGUCGUGUCUGAUCUGAACCUCCAAUCUGAACAUUAAAAUGCUCUAGAACCCGAUCCCAAAAUGCAUCAAAUUGUUGUUGGUUUCCACGCUGUUUAUCUUGAGAACAAUCGACAUAUGCCCUAGCUAAAGCCAACUCUUCACGUUCCACCCAUUUCUUUGACUUCUGAUGGUUUGUAAAGGUGCGUUUUUUCUCAACAACAGGUCGCAACUCCUCACUAGUUUCUUCUUCAUUUCUUUCGGGAACCGGAUCGUCACUAGAACUAUCAGAUUCUACGUUCUGAGAAUCACGGAACUGGAAAUGCUCGGUUGGGAAGAUUGGAAUUGAGUUUCUGGAACCCUUUGGGAAAACUGAUUACAUGGAUUAUAACUCAUAUUUUCCUCUGAAAGCGUAAAUGUGUUGUAAGAUUGUUGCACCGGGUAAUAUUGUUGUGGAUAGUUUUGGUUUUGUUGGUAAAUUUGGUAUUGUUGAUAGUUUGGAUUUGGGUUAUGAAAGGUUGGAGAAGAAAAUGGAAUAUUUUGACUUGAACCGUCUUGCGUGGAUUUGCGUCUUUAGUUAGAACCGGUUUGUUUACUUUUGCCUCGGGAAUCCAUUGAAGGUUACUAGAGAAAUUGAACCAACUUGUAAAAUAUUUCCAGACAAAUCACACUACAAAUAACACUACAAAUAAGUAAAUUUUGCAUUCAUCGUAAACUUAUAAAAAGAAAGCAAAAAAGUAGAUAAAUAAAUAAAAUAAAUACUCAUGGGUGGUUGGUGAAUAUUGUUCAAAAAUACUUACAUGCAAUAAAAGUAAAUUAAAGUUUGGCAGGAAUCUUUGCAUACAGUGAUUGAUUGCAUGCAUGCAUGAAUAGUCAAAGAAAAAUUGAAUGGUCAAGGAAAUUGAAUGCAUUAACUCACGGGUUGGUGAACCUUAUAGAAACAAACAACUCAUCCAACCCGCUAAACCCAAUUAAAAGGAAGUUGUUUGCCGGCGGUACCGGGAUACGCCCUGACCCAUUUCUAAAUUUUGAAACGACUCCUUAUGGCCUUAGGAACAAUGUCUUUUCUAUGAUUCUCAUUUUGACCACACAAUUUUGUUUUUUCUCAAUUUCACCCUGGCACUUAAAUACGUGACACGCAUCACUAUUAAACCGAUUAUCAUUCCCCUUUGCCUUCGUCUUUCCCUUAAUUUCUGAUUUCUUCUUCGUCUUUUCUUUGCUUCCAAGAACUUUGUGGUUUGUCGAUGCAGUGAUUUUUGAGGUUUCGCAACGACGCGGACGCACCCAACCAUCGGUUUCAAGCAAGUAUCUAUUUUAAUUUGGGAGUUGGGUAUGUUAUCUAUGUUCUGAACGUGGUCAUACCUGUUUUUUUAUGCUUAGAAGCAAUUCUCUGUUUCGAUUUUGGGUUAGUUGUUUUUUUUUUUUUCAAAUUUUGGUCUCGGGCUCCACCGUCAAUCACUUUGGGUUAGGGUUGGGUUUACUUUCACUAUUUAUGAAUUGUCUAAUUUUGGUCUCGGAUACGUAGUAUCACUGUUACAAAUUGGAUCAAUUGUUCAUCUUAGGAUAGCAAUCUUGAUACAGCUAUUCCUUCUAUAAAGGUGACGAUCCUUCUAUUUCAGAUUAGCACUUAAAAUCUGAAGGUAAGAUGUAGAGGUUAAGGUAUAGAAGAUGGGUGAAUUUCAGAGAUCUAUUGUUUGUAGAAUUGCUUCCUUAAGUAUCUGUUGUUUCGUUUCUUUCUUGUCUGUUGGUGUGUUCCAUAUUUUUGUUUAUUAUGAUGAUGUUUUUCUGUGCUUUGCAGGUUACAUAGUGCAUCUGUGUGGUUUUUGUUGUCAAUCUGCUUACUCUGGUAUGUCUCCUAUACCGUGUUUCUGCUGUUAAUGGUAUUUAUUGUGGUAAAUGUAAGCAAAAUGAAAUGAUUCAAAUCCAGUGAUGUUGUAAUUCAUACCCUCUCCUUUUUGGUUUGUCUGUGCAGGCUUUACUAACAUCCCAUGGUUUUGGUUACAAAUUGUAAAAAAAAAAAAAACAAAAAAAGUCCAUCAAUUGUUAAAGGUAGGAGUUGAGACUCCAUAAUUAAUGAACAAAGUUUGUUUCCUUCCACUUCCAAUAUGCACACAUUCAAUUAUAUUGUUAUCUUCUUUUAUUCAAAAUUACAUUUACAAAUGUGUUGUAUGAUUUCUUAGGUUUGCAUAUUGUUUAUAGGAGGGGACUCUAGGUCAUUUUGUAUUUAUAUGUUUACAGAAAGUUAUUUAGCUAAAAUAAUCUGAUGCAUGAGUGUGCUUUUUUUUUUUAACCAAUUAGCUUGCUUAUUGACAUAUUUUACUUGAGGGGUAUUUUUGUCAAUUACCAUUCUUUUACCGAAUUUGUUUGACUUUUGACCAACAGGGAAAGAAUGAAAGUUUUCUGUCUACUCAUGGAACUGAAACUCAAAGUUUAGCUACAUAAUAGGAACAUAUGUAAUUAUAAUGGAUCGUGUGUGUAUGCACGUCAAAAAUUAAAAAAAAAAAAAAAAGAUCCGUGGUUCACCACGGUUUCACUUACUAGUUCCAAUUAAAGCUUCAAACUUUUUUAGUUUUUCUUUUUCUUUUACAACAAUGUUACUUUUUGAAAUAUUAUUUUAUCAAGGCUUUUUUAUAUUGUUUUCACCUUUUUUUACUUUUCCAUGCAUUUUAUUUUCACAGUUUAACAAUUAUAGCAUUGUACUUCCAGUUUUCUUAUCAAAAGCGUAUUUCUCUUUACAGUUUUUAUUUUCUUUCCUUCUAUAACAUUGUUACUCUCAAAUAUUUUUCAUAUCAAGACAUUUUAAUAAAUAAUCUUUAUAUGUUUUACUUUUUUUUCAUUCUACUUUGAAAAAUUUACCAGUUAUAGCAUUAUACGACCAGUUUUCUUUUAUAAAAGCACAUUCGCUUUGAAAAAACAUACCAAUUAAAGUUUUACACAUUUGUCUGUUUGUUUUUUUCUUUUACAACAUUUUAAUUGUUAAAUAUUCUGUUAUCGAGACAUUUUAUUAAAAUAUCUUUUCAUUUUUUAUUUAUCUAGACAUUCUACUUUGAUAAAUCUACCAAAUAUAGCAUUAUACUUUAAUUAUUCAUAUUAAAAUCACAUUUCCUUAGAAAAAUCACCUCAACAAAGUUUUGCACAUUUUAUUAAAAAUCCUUAAAAUUUUUACAUCAGACAUUUUAUAUACUUAGAAAAUUUUACUAAUUAUAGCCUUGCACUUUUAGUUUUCUUAAUAAAUGCACAUUUUCUCUUUGAAAAUCAUCCCUACCAUAGCUUUCAAUUUUUUGGUUUUUAUUUCCUCUUUUAUAACAUUUUUAAUCUAAAAUAAUCUUUUAUCAAGACAUUUAAAAAAACAAUUGUUUUACAUAUCUAAGCCUUCUACUUUUAGCUAUUUACCAAUUAUAGCAUCGUAACUUAUUUUUGUUAUUAAAAGCACAUUUUCCUCUUCUCUAAUUAUAGCAUUGUACUUUAAGUUAUAUUAUGAAAAGCACAUUUCCAUUUGAAAAAUCAUCCUAAUUAAAACAUUGCACUUUUUAAGAUUUUUUUUUUUACUUUUACCACAUUUUAACUUUCAAAUGUUGUUAUAUUAAGACAUUUUAUUAAAAAAUCUUUACAUUUAUAUACUUAUCUAGGCAUUUUACUUUGAAAAUCUUACCAAUUAUAGCAUUAUACUUUAUGUUUUCUUAUUAAAUGCACAUUUUACUUUGAAAAAUCAUACAAGUUAAAGCUUUGCACUAUCUAGGCAUUUUUUUUGCUAUCAAUGCAUUUUAUUGUAUCAAGUCGCUUUAUUUUGAAAAAUCUAUCCAAUUUUUUUACUUUGAAAAAAUAAUAAUUCUUUUCUCAUCAAGGCAUGUUAUUUUGAACAAACCAUCAAAUUUUUAUGUAUCUAGAGAUUUUAUUUUGAAGAAUCUAGUUUUUUUUUCUUUCAAAGCAUUUACUUUGAAAAAUCUAUCAUUUUAUUUUAUAUCAAACCAUUUUACUUUGGAAAACCUACACAACUAUAGCAUUGUACUUUCAGUUUUCUUUAUAUAAGCACAUUUUCAAAAGUCAACCCAUUUAUAGCAUUGCAUUUUGCAGUUUUCUUUUUGUUCAACAUUAUUAUUUUCAUAUUUUAUUUUAAUAAGUCUAAUUGGUCUAUCGAAUUUUUUCUUAUCAAGACAUUUUUACUUUAUAAAAGUUUAACCUAUUUUUUUGCUCAUCAAAGCACUUUUUUUUUGAAUUAUCCAUCAAAAAAAUCAAGUUUCUUUUUUAUGCUAUGAUAUUAAAAUUUUCAAAUCUCCUAUUUUCAAAUCAAUUUACUUUGAAAGCUAUAUUAUUUUUUUUAAUAAAGGCAUUUUACUCUGAAAAAUCUACCAAGCACAUGUCUCUUUGAAAAAUCAACCCAUUUGCUUUAUUUUAGUUACAACAUUACAAACAUUAUUUUUUUUUUAUCUUAUCAGGUCAUUUUACUUUAAUCUAUCAUAUUUUUUUAUUAUCAAGGCAUUCAUCUUUGAAAAAUCUGACAAAUAUAGUAUUGUAUUUACAAUUUUCUUAUUAUAAGCACAUUUCCUCUUGAAAACUCAACCCAUGUAUAGCACUGCUUUUAUCUUUAUGUUACAACAUUAAAACAUUCAAAUUUUAUCUUAUCAAGUCAUUGUACUUUGAAAAAUCAAUCAUAUUUUUUUUUUUUCAAAUCUAGUCUUUUUACUUUGAAAAAUCUCUCAUUUAGAGCACUGUAUUUUCAUUUUUCUUAUUUUAAGCACAUUUUCCUUGAAAAAUCAACCCCAUUUUAGCAUUGCACUUUCAGUAUGUUUCUUUCUAUUAUAGUUUUCAAAAUUUUCUUAUCAAGGCAUUUAACAUUGAAAAAACAAUCAAAAUCUUUUCUUAUCAAGGCAUUUUACUUUAAAAAAUUCCAUCAAUUUUUUUCUUAUGGAGCCCUUUACCUUGAAAAAUCUAUGAAGUAUUACAUUACAUUGCAUUUUCAGUUGUAUUAUUAUAAGCAUAUUUACCUUUGAAAAAUCAACCCGUUUAUAGCAUUGCACUUUUCAAUUUUCUUUCUAUUAUUGCAUUGUAACUUUCAUGAUUUUUUCUUCAUGUUGCCUUGAAAAAUCUAUCAAUUUUUUUCUAAUAAAGGCAUGUUACUUGAAAAGUCUACCAUAUAUAGGACUACACUAUUCGGUUUUCUUUUUGUUACAACAUGGUAAAUGUCAAAAAAAGUUUACCUACCAAUUAUAACAUUGUUCUUUUAAUUUUCGUAUUAUAAGUUACGAUUUAAAAUUGUAAAAACCACUUGUAAAAUUCCAUUUUUCAGUUUUUUUUCUGCUUCAAAAUUGCAACUUCCAAAAAUUUCUUACCAAGGUCUUUUUUUUUUUUGAAAAAAGUAUCAAAUAUUUUCUUAUGAAAGAAACUUACUUUGAAAAUCAACCCAAUUUUUAGCAUUGUACUUUCAUUUUUGUUAUUAUCAGCACAUCUAUGUUUAUGACAAGUUUUGAAAUGUAUUCUAUUCAUUUCAUUUUAUUAUGUUAAUAUUAAUUAUAUUUAUUUCUUUUUACUAUUUUUUAUAUGAUUUCAUUGGUUUGUUAUUUUUGUAAGAAAUGUAAAAAGCUGUCGGUCCAAAACCAACACCGCAGGUUUAUCACUUUAUUUAAUUUAUUGGUUAAAUUACUGACUAUCAGUUUCUUUUAUUUUGUAAAUUGGUUACUUGUUUUGAUUGAUGUAUUUACCUGCUAUAUAUAAUUAUAUGAUGUGAUUUUAACUGUUGUUAUUUUAUGUUUUAUGCAUAAGUUUUGGCUCUUCUUGCAUUUUGAAUGUUACUGAAGUCAAUAUGUUUUAUAAGUUAAUUAUCUGAUUAUUAAGUUUUAUGUUCAUAAACUCUCUUGUGUCAAGGACAUUAAGUUAUGGUUUUCUUUGUUUUGAAGUAAGCUGUUUGCUUAUUUGAUCUCAGUUUGAGAAUUAUUUUGGUUACAAGUUUUGUUGGUCAUGUAUUAUUACCUACACUUACUUUUUUAUUAAGUAGUUGUGUUAUUUAUUGUUUACUUUUGUUUGUUUAAAUUUCUAGUAGGCACAUGAUUAUCUGUAGUAUGAAUUUAUUUUUAUGUUUUUUCUUCAUUUUAUACUGCUUUUAUAUUAAAAGCCGAUACAACUUUUUGUUGGUCAGACUUGACUUUUCACAACAAAAAAUUAUCCUGUUUACAUGUUUUAAUGUCUAAUCGUGUAAUUGUGGCUUUAUGUGUAGGAGGUUCUACUUUGUUUAUUUCUUGUGUGUUUGUUUGUAGGACCUGCUUCGGAAUUCAUGUAUUAGUUCAGUUUGUAGGCCUUUUCUUUUUCUUGUGUGGCUUUGUAUGUUGAUUUUGCUUUGUUUGUAGAGUUAUUGUGUGGCUUUGUUUAUAGGAUUCUAAUUUGGAAUUCAUGUGUAGGGUUUGGUUUAUAGGGUUCUGUUUUUGAAUUUGUGUUCCUUUUCUCGUGUAGCUUUGUUUGCAGAGUUCUUACAUGCCUUUGUUUUUACAGAUCUUCUAUAUUGUAUUUUAUCGUGUCUAUUUUGUUUGUAGGGUUCUACUAUGUUUGAUUUUGCUUUGCUUUGUUUAUAAGGUUCUAUUUUAUUUGUAGAGAGUUCUGGUGUGGCUUCGUUUGUAGGGUUCUACUUUGUUUGUAGGAUUCUGUUUUGAAAUUCAUGUCUUGGUUCUACUUUUGAAUCCUUUUCCCUUUUCUUGUGUGGCUUUAUUUGUAGGGUUGUGUUUUGUUUGUAGAGUUAUUAUGUGAGUUUUUUUAUAGGAUUUUUCUUUGGAGUUCUUGUCUCGGGUUAUGUUUGUAGGAAUCAACUUUGAUAUUCUUAUCCAUUUCAAUAUUCUUAUGUGGCUUUAUUUCUAGGGUUCUGAUUCUUUAUGUAGAGUUCUUAUUGGUUCUAUUUAGAUGGUUCACCUUUGUUUUUAGACUUCUUGUGUGGCUCUAUUUGUAGGAUUCUUGUCUUAGGUUCUCUUUGUUUCUUUGUAGGGUUAUGUUUCAAAAUUCUUCUCCAUUUUCUCUGUAGAGUUGUUCUUAUGAAUUCUUUGUAUCGGGUUCUAUUUGUGAAGCUUUGGAAUUCCUGUUAAUUUGUGUUUUCUUGUGUGAAAUUUAUAGGGUUAUUUUUUGUUUGUAGAGUACUUGUGUGGCUUUGUUUUAGGGUUCUACUUUCUUGUCUUUAAUUAUGUUUGUAGGGUUCUACUUUGGAAUUCUUAUUCAUUGCAUUUUCUUGUGUGGCUUAGCAGCUUUGUUUGUAGACUUCUUGUAUGACUUUCUUUGAUCUUUGAUUGUAGGGUUCUGCUUGUGAAUUCUUGUCUUGGGUUCUCUAUGUUGGGUUUUGCUUUAGAUUUCUUUAUCCAUUUUGUAUUUUCUUUGUAGGGUUUUUUGCUUUGUUUGUAUAAAUCUUAUGUGGCUUUGUUUCAAGAUUUCUUGUGUAACUUUGUUUGUAGAGUUCUUGUGUCUCUUUGAUUGUAAUCUUUGGAAUUCUUGGGUUAUGUUUGUAGGGUUUAUUAACAUUUAGUCUUCAACAAGGCUAUAACUUCAUGGUUGAAUUAGAUUUGAUCUAAUAACUUUAGGGUUGAAUAAUUUCUUGAAAAGUUUGGUCGUUAGGACCGAGUAACAAAUGGUGAGUCUAGAACUAAAAAAACACAUGGUUCACUAUUUAAGUAAAACCGAUAGAAAAUGAAAAAAAAAAAAAAAAAAUCUAAAAAUACUAGUUGUAUGUCCGGGUCGGAUCAUAUUAACUUGAUAGAAAAUGUAAAGAUAAAAAUAAGAAAGUGUUACUUUUGUUACUAUGCUCUUUUAAUUUCAAUCUCUCUAAUUCACAUAUGAUAAAUUUUCAUAUUUGGUCGUUAUGUCGGAUCAACAAGUAGUGAACUUCAACUAACUCUUAUAUGUUUAUGUAGAUCAUUAUCUUCUUCUACAUUCAUUUUUCAUUCAUUUAAAAAAAAAAACUUGAAUAAAGACAUUUCUAAUUCUAAUUUCUUAAACAAAUGGCAAUUAACAAAUCAACAAUUAACUAACACAAUUCUAAAACUUAGAAGUCAAUGUAAUUAAACAAGUCCAAAGAACCAAUUGCUAAAAUCAUUAGUGUGAACCGUGGAUCAAAGACUUGGAAUUUGAAAGUGAAUUUAAAUAAAGUAUUAAACAAAGACAAAAAAGAUGAAAAAUUAAUUUUUCAAAUUGUCAAAUACAUUAAGAAAAUAGCCCCUUUGAAUCAAAUAACAAAAUCGUCAACCUCGGUGAAUCCGUAAAAAAAUUCAAAUAAAAAAGAACAUUGGAAAUGUUUAAUUGAAUGUAACUAAAAAAGCUACAAAGACCUUAAACCAAAGACAAAAGUAGCACAAUUUUGAAUUGAGAAUUUUACAACUUGCUGGACUGGAGUGUAAGAUUGGUCGGUUGGUGGUGUCGUAGGAAGAAGGCGGGCAGAAGGCCGACGGGAGUCGGUUGGUUGAGGGCACUGAGAACAUUGAGGGCAAUGAUCACAUUAAUAGAGACCUUCGCAACCGUUUAAAUUUUUCAUAAUUCUUUUUUUCUUUUCUGUUUAAUUACAAAUUUUUAAUGGACAACUGUUUUUUGGCUUACAAAUUUUUGGGGAUCCAAUAAACAAUGCCACUUCCAAAACAUACUAACCUUCAUGUAUUGCUAUCCUUUUCUCUAAACAAAAUUAAUGGAAACAAAAGAAUCAAUUAACAGAAUUCUUCUGGUUUUGGUUUAGGAAACCUUCUAUAUCCAAACUUUGCAUCCACAAAACCUAAUUUUGUCGAACUCCAACCACAAUUUCUCCUUCCCUAAUCCUUUCCGCUCUCCAAAUCUCCUGCAAAAAUUUGUUUCUCUUCACACUUGCUUAUUUGUUAACACUAUUUUUUCCCUUCUUGAAACUUUUGUGGUUAGCAUUGAUUUUAUUCUAUGAUAUUAAUGUGUGCGUAAUCUUGGAUUUUGAAUAGAAUUACUCUGGUUUCAGCUAUCACACUUUGAUUUAGUGUGGAAAUCAAUCACCAAGUAUAACUGACGAUUUCAAUUUUGAAUUUGGGGUUUUAAUGUGUGCGUAAACUUAGAUUCUGAGAGAGCGUGUCAUAUUGUUGUGAUUUAGGGGGUGUUUGGCUUAACUUUUCACAGCCAAAAGUUCUUUUUGGAAAAGAAAAAAAAGCAAAAGAUGUUUGGCAAACUAGUUUUAAAAGUUACUUUUGAAGUUUUUACAUAAGAAAAGGAACUUUUUGGAAAAGUCAGGAAACUUUUUAUAACUUUUCCAAAAAUGACUUUUGGGGUUUGAAAAGCUAAGCCAAACACCCCCUUAGAAUUCAUUGCAGAAGAAGGCUUAUUAGGUAUACAUUUCUUCAUUUCCUUCUACUUGUCUUCUCUUUUUAGCAAUUAGGAUAGGAAAGGAUUGUAAAAGAAUGAUUCAAUAUUAAAAUUAAUAAAGGGUAGAUUUGAGAGAAUUUAAAAAAAAAAAAAAAAAAAAGUUUGUUGAAACGCUAGUCUAGUCUAAGUAGCUUUUUUAAAAAUCUAGCAUAAAAGUUCUAUCUUUUUGGCUUGCCAAACAUGACAGCCUAAAAAAACUUGAAAAAUAAGCUAACUGCGACAUGACAAACAUAGUCAUAGACUCGCUAUUCAUCUAUUGUUUAUGCAAAAGAUGUUAAUGUCAUUUCCAUUCUUAUCAUUGAAAAUAGACAUAGAAAGCUUGUGUAGUUGAGUCAUGUUCCUUGUAACAAGGGACAAUGUUUGGUAAUGAUAUUUGACUUGUAUACACCUUAACAGACCAUUAAGGUUUGCUCAUUUCUUCAUAUUGAUUUCUCCUUGUCGAUUAUGGAAAAUUUGCUUUUACAAGAAUGAGACAUCGUGCGAGUAAAGAAUAUGACCAUUACAAAGGGUACAUGUGUCAAAUUGUAACCACACACAUUCGACUUUCUCAACAUUUCCAACCCAAAAUCAAUGUAAGUCAACAAGACAUAUAUUAAAAGACCAAUGUAUUCUCAUUAUAUAUAAUGAGCAGAAUUAAAAAAAAUAAUAAUAAUAAAAUAAAAAAAAAAGAUUUUUCAAGUCAUUUACGUUGAACUUUUCAGUUUUCUUUUUAAUAUCAAAACAUUCCAAGUCCAUUUUCAUGUUACAUCAAGUGCUCCAGUAGUUCCAACGAGGGAGGAUUAGUUUUGUUUAUUGAAAGGAUUGUCGAAUGUAGAGUUGGCAUGUUAGCAGGUUUUGUCCCUAGACAUAUGUAGGUCGGAAAAUGUGGUCUCCCCACAAAUAAAUAAAUCCAUUGUUCUAUAAAACUGAACACUAUUCCUCUCCUCAAAUUUAAUAUAACAUGAUGACGGAUUAAUUGCUUUGAUAAAUCUAACAACAUGACGGAAUUAAUAAAAAUUAAAGGAAGAUUAUACCUGAAUGAUGCGUUGGAUUAUAUUGAUGAUGGAUUGUGUUGAAUGAUUAGAUGAUUAUAUGGAUAGUUUGGAUAGAACUCUGCUAUUCAAAAAUAGAACAACUAUUUCAACAGAGAAGACAAUUGAGAUCAACUCAAGUCUUAAACACUCAAACUUAGCUUGUUUAUUUCAUUUGGGCAAAGGCCCUAUUUAUAGGCUCAAGAGAGCCGGUUACAAUUACUGUUGCAAUCGUUUGAUUGCAAUAUGACACAUAUAUAUUUACAUUAUAGCCUCCUAGACUAUUGAGGGUUAUACACUUUAUGUUACAUCAACCUACACUUAAUAAUUAUUCUACCGACACUUAUUUAAUUACAUAACAAUCCUUCUACCGACACUUUACAUAAUGAAAAAUAUAAUAAUCCCUUUCAUGAAAGGACAGGUGUCUNAACUUCCGCGGGGACCGGGCAAUUUGUAGUUAAUAAUAGUUAGAAAUGUCAAAAAUAAAUGAAAGAUAAAUUGAAGAAGACAUUAUAGUCAUUUUACACAGUUUUGAAAAUCGGAUUAUUGAGUUCGCCUGGACUACGCUGGCUUUGGGAUGCCAGGCUUGAUGCUUCAAGAAAGUUCCAAACCAAUCUCUGGCACUUGGUAAAGAUUUGUGAUUUCCGGGUGAUGACAAGUAACUCGUGAAGGUCUAUAGUCAACUACGGCUAUUGAGCGUCGAGACCAAGAAUUUGAAGAAAGAUCUCUGCUUAGGCUUAAAAUCUCUCUACCUCUCAAAGUCACCACUCCGUCCAAGUGUGGAGGUCAGAAUCCCAUCCUAUCCACCCGGGCCGUCGUCACCACCUUCUUUUGUCCGAUCCUUCUCCUCUUGAAAGGAUGAAGCGGACACAUUUAUAAUAACAAAGAAUGAAGCAUGCAACUCAUUACUUAAUUAUAUCUAACAAUAAACAAAUCAUAUUUAUCUUAUUUGGUAGUAUUCGUCGAUCGUUCUUGUAUCUAUUUGUAUCCACA